CGUGAAGAUAGAAAUACUUGGGCAAAAGUGCCCUGCCUCCGUGUUGCUCAUCUCAUUGCUCCACAGGAACAGCAAAGAAGGAGUAACGCCUCAUUGCAAGGCAAAGCAAGAGAGAGGCGUCCUUCCCCGCUCCCUCUGUGCUGCCCAAAGGCAACACUGCCCCCCGGUGCCCAUCGCUGCCGGAGGCGGCUGCCAGGGCUGGGACCGGCACUUGCAAAAGUAGCUGGGUUAGCUUCACUGCUUCAACCAAUCGGCUUGAACUCACCCGGCUGAAUUUUUUCUGAAAUCAAUUAGAAAAAGGAACACCUGACCUGCUGGCAAAACAGGGGAUGGGGAGGAACAGUUUGUAGCAGUACUAUCCUCAGGUAUGCACCUCCGCUGAAGUUAUGGUGAAAGAUGGAAUGAGGCACUAUUAGUAGGCUGGACGGCAAGUAUAUCUAUAUCAGCAUGUAGCAGCCAGCAGAAUAGAGGAAGUUGUGUUCCAGUUGGUGUAUGCAGCAGCAUCCUGUGGUGGAGAGAAGUGGUGACCACACUUCUCUCAGCUUUCUGGGCUAGCUGCCUUCAGGGAAGCCUGGGAGAUAGCUGGCAACCUACUGGAAUUGAGGAAAGCUGUUUUUGAAAAAUCUAUGAAAUCUAUUUUUGAGAAACUGCAUUUUAAGAGUUUAUUCAUUCCUACUACUUGUGUCUGGAACUCAGUCCAGUAAGCAUAAGUGACAUCCAAGCAAUGGAGAAAACUUGGUUGUACUCCAAAGAUGUGCAUUUGUUACUAUUUUUUCUUUUUAUAAAGAGCUAAUGUAGCUGA
Molecule: non-coding RNA, 802 nt
Organism: Anas platyrhynchos (mallard)
Lineage: Eukaryota; Metazoa; Chordata; Aves; Anseriformes; Anatidae
Source: RefSeq, a predicted model, not a curated record